UGGUAGUGAUGUGGACAAGCAUUUAACAAUUGUUUGAAUUGACCCCAUGCUUCGUACAUAUUCUCCCCAUUUUUCUAUGUGAAGCUCAGUAUUUCUUUCCUCAACCG
This is a small nucleolar RNA of Solanum stenotomum, 107 nucleotides long. NCBI's taxonomy places the organism in Eukaryota, Viridiplantae, Streptophyta, Magnoliopsida, Solanales, Solanaceae. The record is from RefSeq and is a predicted model, not a curated record.